This 561-nucleotide ribosomal RNA is filed under the name uncultured Fibrobacteres/Acidobacteria group bacterium. RNAcentral describes it as "bacterial SSU rRNA". It matches the Rfam family "Bacterial small subunit ribosomal RNA", at positions 166 to 759 of the family's 1533-position model. Lineage: Bacteria; Pseudomonadati. The record is from RNAcentral.
AUACCGCAUAAUACCUACGGGUCAAAGCAGCAAUGCGUUUGGAGAGGAGUUCGCGGUCGAUUAGUUAGUUGGCGGGGUAAUGGCCCACCAAGACGAUGAUCGAUAUCCGGCCUGAGAGGGCGCACGGACACACUGGAACUGAAACACGUUCCAGAUUCCUACGGGAGGCAGCAGUGGGGAAUUUUGCGCAAUGGGGGAAACCCUGACGCAGCAACGCCGCGUGGAGGAUGAAAUAUCUUGGUAUGUAAACUCCUUUCGAUGGGGAAGAUAAUGACGGUACCCAUAGAAGAAGCCCCGGCUAACUUCGUGCCAGCAGCCGCGGUAAUACGAGGGGGGCAAGCGUUGUUCGGAAUUAUUGGGCGUAAAGGGUGCGUAGGCGGUUUGACAAGUCAUCUGUGAAAUCUCUGGGCUCAACCCAGAGUCUGCAGGCGAAACUGUCGGGCUUGAGUAUGGGAGAGGUGAGUGGAAUUUCCGGUGUAGCGGUGAAAUGCGUAGAUAUCGGAAGGAACACCUGUGGCGAAAGCGGCUCACUGGACCAUAACUGACGCUGAUGCACGAAAG